GAUGAACGCUGGCGGCGUGCCUAAUACAUGCAAGUCGAGCGAACGGACGAGAAGCUUGCUUCUCUGAUGUUAGCGGCGGACGGGUGAGUAACACGUGGAUAACCUACCUAUAAGACUGGGAUAACUUCGGGAAACCGGAGCUAAUACCGGAUAAUAUUUUGAACCGCAUGGUUCAAAAGUGAAAGACGGUCUUGCUGUCACUUAUAGAUGGAUCCGCGCUGCAUUAGCUAGUUGGUAAGGUAACGGCUUACCAAGGCAACGAUGCAUAGCCGACCUGAGAGGGGGAUCGGCCACACUGGAACUGGGACACGGUCCAGACUCCUACGGGAGGCAGCAGUAGGGAAUCUGCCGCAAUGGGCGAAAGCCUGACGGAGCAACGCCGCGUGAGUGAUGAAGGUCUUCGGAUCGUAAAACUCUGUUAUUAGGGAAGAACAUAUGUGUAAGUAACUGUGCACAUCUUGACGGUACCUAAUCAGAAAGCCACGGCUAACUACGUG
This 497-nucleotide ribosomal RNA is filed under the name uncultured bacterium. Its description in RNAcentral is "partial 16S ribosomal RNA". It matches the Rfam family "Bacterial small subunit ribosomal RNA", at positions 28 to 507 of the family's 1533-position model. The record is from RNAcentral.